Molecule: ribosomal RNA, 506 nt
Filed under: uncultured bacterium
Lineage: Bacteria
Description: partial 16S ribosomal RNA
Rfam family: Bacterial small subunit ribosomal RNA
Source: RNAcentral
AGUGAACGCUGGCGGUAGGCCUAACACAUGCAAGUCGAACGGCAGCACAGAGGAGCUUGCUCCUUGGGUGGCGAGUGGCGGACGGGUGAGGAAUACAUCGGAAUCUACUCUGUCGUGGGGGAUAACGUAGGGAAACUUACGCUAAUACCGCAUACGACCUACGGGUGAAAGCAGGGGAUCUUCGGACCUUGCGCGAUUGAAUGAGCCGAUGUCGGAUUAGCUAGUUGGCGGGGUAAAGGCCCACCAAGGCGACGAUCCGUAGCUGGUCUGGGAGGAUGAUCAGCCACACUGGAACUGAGACACGGUCCAGACUCCUACGGGAGGCAGCAGUGGGGAAUAUUGGACAAUGGGCGCAAGCCUGAUCCAGCCAUACCGCGUGGGUGAAGAAGGCCUUCGGGUUGUAAAGCCCUUUUGUUGGGAACGAAAAGCCCCGGGUUAAUACCCUGGGGUCAUGACGGUACCGUAAGAAUAAGCACCGGCUAACUACGUGCCAGCAGCCGCAGUAA